Rhinolophus ferrumequinum (greater horseshoe bat) is the source of this 438-nucleotide long non-coding RNA. RefSeq lists it as uncharacterized. The transcript is spliced from 3 exons. Lineage: Eukaryota; Metazoa; Chordata; Mammalia; Chiroptera; Rhinolophidae. The record is from RefSeq and is a predicted model, not a curated record.
CGCAGCCACUUCCGCCAGAAGUUGAAGCCGCUCCUCCGUCAGCUUUUAGAUUAUUUCCGCCGGCGUUUCUUCUGCUCCAAAGCGCGCCUCUUAGUGGCCAGAAGGAAACAAAACAGAGGCUUCCUACUCCCGCCCGUGAAUUUAUAAAUAGCAAUGAGACUACAUAAAGCAGCUCUCGUUCAAUGGGAUUUACUUUCCUCCCACAAUUCUGAGGUGGUGCAUUUUUUACAAAUGGAAGGCAAAACGCUCCACCAGUAAAAAGAUUACAACUCAUGCUGGUCUGGAACUGAACCCACAAUAUCUCCAAGGCCACAGCGACUUGGCUGGGUGCCUGUCGGCUGUGGAAGGACAAACCUCAGGCGGACACGCGAGGCACGUUCCCGGGACCAGCCACCAAGGCCCUUACCUUUCACGAGGAUGUCCUCCGUCAGCGGGAGG